RNAcentral lists this ribosomal RNA (492 nucleotides) under uncultured bacterium. RNAcentral describes it as "partial 16S ribosomal RNA". It matches the Rfam family "Bacterial small subunit ribosomal RNA", at positions 30 to 507 of the family's 1533-position model. The record is from RNAcentral.
AUUGAACGCUGGCGGCAUGCUUUACACAUGCAAGUCGAACGGUAACAGGCCUUCGGGUGCUGACGAGUGGCGAACGGGUGAGUAAUGCAUCGGAACGUGCCCAGAGGUGGGGGAUAACGCAGCGAAAGCUGUGCUAAUACCGCAUGUGAUCUGAGGAUGAAAGCGGGGGACCAGGCAGCAAUGUUUGGCCUCGCGCCUUUGGAGCGGCCGAUGUCAGAUUAGGUAGUUGGUGGGGUAAAGGCCCACCAAGCCGACGAUCUGUAGCUGGUCUGAGAGGACGACCAGCCACACUGGGACUGAGACACGGCCCAGACUCCUACGGGAGGCAGCAGUGGGGAAUUUUGGACAAUGGGCGCAAGCCUGAUCCAGCAAUGCCGCGUGCGGGAAGAAGGCCUUCGGGUUGUAAACCGCUUUUGUACGGAACGAAAAGGCUCUGGCUAAUACCUGGGGCUGAUGACGGUACCGUAAGAAUAAGCACCGGCUAACUACGUG